AGAGCCCCCGGAUGUGGCGGUGUCGGGACAGAGCCCAGAGCCCGCCAGGCUGGAGGCGUCGGGAGAGAGUGAUCUCAGCACCUCGGCGCACCUGGGCAAAGCUGUGACGUCAGUGGCCUUCCCGGGGUCCCCGGUGGCCACGGACCCCCGGGACCCCCCCCAGGACCCCCGGGACCCCCCCCCGGGGGGAGACUCCGGCCCCGAGAGCGGCUCCGAGAGCGGCGACCCCCGGGGGGGGCAGCCCCGAGGUCCCUUCCCCGAUGGCCCCUCCCAGUCCAGCGAGUCCGAGGAGGGGAUGUGACGCGGCCGCUCCCGACGGAUCCCCCGAGGAUUCCCCGCUGCCGCCCCCGCUGUCCCCUCGAUGUCACCUCGCUGUCCCCUCGCUGUCACCUCGAUGUCACCUCGCUGUCCCCUCGAUGUCACCUCGCUCUCCCCUCCCCUCCCGGGGGGACCCUGGGGGUGGCCGGACCCCCCCUCGUGUCCCCUCCCCCCACAAUGUCC
Non-coding RNA from Pseudopodoces humilis (Tibetan ground-tit), 501 nucleotides. Lineage: Eukaryota; Metazoa; Chordata; Aves; Passeriformes; Paridae. The record is from RefSeq and is a predicted model, not a curated record.